RNAcentral lists this ribosomal RNA (415 nucleotides) under uncultured bacterium. RNAcentral describes it as "bacterial SSU rRNA". It matches the Rfam family "Bacterial small subunit ribosomal RNA", at positions 355 to 775 of the family's 1533-position model. The record is from RNAcentral.
UCGAGAAUCUUCGGCAAUGGGCGCAAGCCUGACCGAGCGACGCCGCGUGGAGGAUGAAGGCCUUCGGGUUGUAAACUCCUGUCGAGGGGGAAAAAGGGUUGCAAGACCUUGAUUGAUCCCUGGAGGAAGCACGGGCUAAGUUCGUGCCAGCAGCCGCGGUAAGACGAACCGUGCGAACGUUAUUCGGAAUCAUUGGGCUUAAAGCGCGUGUAGGCGGAUUCGUGCGUCUGUCGCUGAAAUCCCCCGGCUCAACCGGGGAAGUGGCGUGGAUACGACGAGUCUGGAGGGGCAUAGGGGGACCUGGAACUUCCGGUGGAGCGGUGAAAUGCGUUGAGAUCGGAAGGAACGCCCGUGGCGAAAGCGAGGUCCUGGAUGCCUACUGACGCUGAGACGCGAAAGCCAGGGGAGCGAACGG